UGCAAGUCGAGCGAACGGAUAGGAGCUUGCUCCUUUGAAGUUAGCGGCGGACGGGUGAGUAACACGUGGGUAACCUACCUAUAAGACUGGAAUAACUUCGGGAAACCGGAGCUAAUGCCGGAUAACAUUUGGAACCGCAUGGUUCUAAAGUAAAAGAUGGUUUUGCUAUCACUUAUAGAUGGACCCGCGCCGUAUUAGCUAGUUGGUAAGGUAACGGCUUACCAAGGCAACGAUACGUAGCCGACCUGAGAGGGUGAUCGGCCACACUGGAACUGAGACACGGUCCAGACUCCUACGGGAGGCAGCAGUAGGGAAUCUUCCGCAAUGGACGAAAGUCUGACGGAGCAACGCCGCGUGAGUGAUGAAGGUUUUCGGAUCGUAAAACUCUGUUAUUAGGGAAGAACAAAUGUGUAAGUAACUGUGCACAUCUUGACGGUACCUAAUCAGAAAGCCACGGCUAACUACGUGCCAGCAGCCGCGGUAAUACGUAGGUGGCAAGCGUUAUCCGGAAUUAUUGGGCGUAAAGCGCGCGUAGGCGGUUUCUUAAGUCUGAUGUGAAAGCCCACGGCUCAACCGUGGAGGGUCAUUGGAAACUGGGAAACUUGAGUACAGAAGAGGAAAGUGGAAUUCCAUGUGUAGCGGUGAAAUGCGCAGAGAUAUGGAGGAACACCAGUGGCGAAGGCGACUUUCUGGUCUGUAACUGACGCUGAUGUGCGAAAGCGUGGGGAUCAAACAGGAUUAGAUA
This 745-nucleotide ribosomal RNA is filed under the name Staphylococcus sp. X21-CRBM-E14. RNAcentral describes it as "bacterial SSU rRNA". It matches the Rfam family "Bacterial small subunit ribosomal RNA", at positions 56 to 784 of the family's 1533-position model. Lineage: Bacteria; Bacillati; Bacillota; Bacilli; Caryophanales; Staphylococcaceae. The record is from RNAcentral.